Helianthus annuus (common sunflower) is the source of this 71-nucleotide non-coding RNA. The record is from Rfam. NCBI's taxonomy places the organism in Eukaryota, Viridiplantae, Streptophyta, Magnoliopsida, Asterales, Asteraceae.
GUCGGAUAGCUCAGUUGGUAGAGCAGAGGACUGAAAAAUCUCGUGUCACAGUUCAAAUCUGGUUCCUGACA